ACGAACGCUGGCGGCGUGCUUAACACAUGCAAGUCGAACGGAAAGGCCCUGCUUUUGUAGGGUGCUCGAGUGGCGAACGGGUGAGUAACACGUGAGUAACCUGCCCUUGACUUUGGGAUAACUUCAGGAAACUGGGGCUAAUACCGGAUAGGAGCUCCUGCUGCAUGGUGGGGGUUGGAAAGUUUCGGCGGUUGGGGAUGGACUCGCGGCUUAUCAGCUUGUUGGUGGGGUAGUGGCUUACCAAGGCUUUGACGGGUAGCCGGCCUGAGAGGGUGACCGGCCACAUUGGGACUGAGAUACGGCCCAGACUCCUACGGGAGGCAGCAGUGGGGAAUAUUGCACAAUGGGCGGAAGCCUGAUGCAGCAACGCCGCGUGCGGGAUGACGGCCUUCGGGUUGUAAACCGCUUUCGCCUGUGACGAAGCGUGAGUGACGGUAAUGGGUAAAGAAGCACCGGCUAACUACGUG
This 467-nucleotide ribosomal RNA is filed under the name uncultured bacterium. RNAcentral describes it as "partial 16S ribosomal RNA". It matches the Rfam family "Bacterial small subunit ribosomal RNA", at positions 29 to 507 of the family's 1533-position model. The record is from RNAcentral.